AUUGAACGCUGGCGGCAUGCCUUACACAUGCAAGUCGAACGGCAGCACGGGAGCAAUCCUGGUGGCGAGUGGCGAACGGGUGAGUAAUAUAUCGGAACGUGCCCAGUCGUGGGGAUAACGUAGCGAAAGCUACGCUAAUACCGCAUACGAUCUACGGAUGAAAGCGGGGGGAUCGCAAGACCUCGCGCGAUUGGAGCGGCCGAUAUCAGAUUAGGUAGUUGGUGAGGUAAAGGCUCACCAAGCCGACGAUCUGUAGCUGGUCUGAGAGGACGACCAGCCACACUGGGACUGAGACACGGCCCAGACUCCUACGGGAGGCAGCAGUGGGGAAUUUUGGACAAUGGGCGCAAGCCUGAUCCAGCAAUGCCGCGUGCAGGAUGAAGGCC
This 386-nucleotide ribosomal RNA is filed under the name uncultured bacterium. RNAcentral's name for it is "bacterial SSU rRNA". It matches the Rfam family "Bacterial small subunit ribosomal RNA", at positions 29 to 416 of the family's 1533-position model. The record is from RNAcentral.